UGGCCUUUUCAUUAACCCGCAGUAGACUUAUACAUGCAAGCAUCCCCGAUCCUGUGAGAAUGCCCUCCAUGUCAGACAGACCUAAAGGAGUAGGUAUCAAGCUCACUAUUAAGUAGCUCAAGACACCUUGCCCAACCACACCCCCACGGGAUACAGCAGUAAUUAAAAUUAAGCAAUGAACGAAAGUUUGACUAAGUCAUACGCACCAGUUAAGGGUUGGUAAAUUUCGUGCCAGCCACCGCGGUCAUACGAUUAACCCUAGUUAAUGAAGUACGGUGUAAAGCGUGAUUAAGGUACUCACAAAAUAAGACUAAGGUUAGACUAAGCUGUAAAAAGCCCUGGACAUAACAAAAAUAACCUACGAAAGUAAUCUUAAACGCCUGAACUCACGAUAGCUAAGACCCAAACUGGGAUUAGAUACCCCACUAUGCUUAGCCCUAAACAUAAAUAUUCAACAAACAAGAAUAUCCACCAGAGUACUACUAGCAAUAGCCUAAAACUCAAAGGACUUGGCGGUGCCUUACAUCCCUCUAGAGGAGCCUGUUCUAUAAUCGAUAAACCCCGAUAUACCUCACCACCUUUAGCAGCAUCAGCCUAUAUACCGCCAUCUUCAGCAAACCCUAACAAGGCCUUAAAGUAAGCACAAGAGCACUACAUAAAAACGUUAGGUCAAGGUGUAGCCUAUAAGGCGGGAAGAAAUGGGCUACAUUUUCUAAACCUAGAACAAUUACGAUAACUUUUAUGAAACUAAAAGCCCAAGGCGGAUUUAGUAGUAAGCCAGGAAUAGAGAGCCUGACUGAAUUGGGCAAUAAGGCA
Molecule: non-coding RNA, 816 nt
Filed under: Funisciurus pyrropus (fire-footed rope squirrel)
Lineage: Eukaryota; Metazoa; Chordata; Mammalia; Rodentia; Sciuridae
Description: partial 12S ribosomal RNA
Rfam family: Bacterial small subunit ribosomal RNA
Source: RNAcentral